This 252-nucleotide ribosomal RNA is filed under the name uncultured bacterium. RNAcentral describes it as "partial 16S ribosomal RNA". It matches the Rfam family "Bacterial small subunit ribosomal RNA", at positions 524 to 776 of the family's 1533-position model. The record is from RNAcentral.
UACGAAGGGUGCAAGCGUUGUUCGGAUUAACUGGGCGUAAAGGGUGUGUAGGUUGCUUGCUAAGUAAGAUGUCAAAUCCAUGGGUCUAACCUGUGUCCGCAUCUUAUACUGGUAGGAUUGAGUUUGUUAGAGGAAAGUGGAAUUCCUAGUGGAGAGGUAGAAUUCUUAGAUAUUAGGAGGAACGCCAGAGGCGAAAGCGACUUUCUGGGGCACAACUGACACUGAAACACGAAAGCGUGGGUAGCAAACAGG